Oxyura jamaicensis (ruddy duck) is the source of this 665-nucleotide long non-coding RNA. RefSeq lists it as uncharacterized. The transcript has 5 exons. Lineage: Eukaryota; Metazoa; Chordata; Aves; Anseriformes; Anatidae. The record is from RefSeq and is a predicted model, not a curated record.
ACUUAAAAUGUGCAUUACUCUGGGAUAUAUUAUUUGGACUUAGCAUAAUUUUUGCACUGUCCGUUUGUCAUUCUUCUUCAUGCCUGCUGUCAGAAAUGAAUCAGGAGACAAAAGCAAGCCUAAUUGACAGCUCUGGGGAGGCUGAAGGAUAACAGAAAAUAAGGCUGGAGGACUUGAGAGGUGCUGUAAGUCAUCCUUUCCAUCACCAAGGUAGAUCAGCUAAAUCCUGGGCCAUUCCUCAAAGGUGCGUCGAAGUUCCUGAGAACAAGACAAUUUCCACUGUGCAUAAAAUAGCCUGAGUCAGGAGCAUCAGAUCAAAGAUCACCUUUUUUACCCCGCUGCUGAAGCUGUUGUACUCUGGAGACAUUUAUUUAUCCAAAGUAACAGGGCAGUGAUCACUGCAGAGAACUGGGACUUCCUUUCUUCAUUCAAAUAACUAAAGUUUCUAUUGUUUUAAAAAUACCGAACUAAUUAUUUUCCACCAAAGGAACACUAGGUGAUGACUGACCUUUACAUGAAACAACAUGAAUAUGUGAAAGAUGACACGAGCAGAGGAAAUAAGAGAGGUGCUCCAGUGAAUUUUUCUUUACAGUACAUGUAGAAAUUUUCCAUUCUCAGUCAGAACAAAGAUGAAACUUGCAAUCACAAAAAUCUGCUUUGAAUUU